CCUACGGGUGGCAGCAGUGGGGAAUCUUGCACAAUGGGCGAAAGUCUGAUGCAGCAACGCCGCGUGAGUGAUGAAGGUUUUCGGCUCGUAAACCUCUGUCAGUAGGGAAGAACGGUCGAUGUACUAACUAGCAGUGAAUUGACGGUAAUUGCUAAGAAAGUAACGGCUAACUCCGUGCCAGCAGCCGCGGUAAUACGGAGGUUGCGAGCGUUAACCGGAUUUAGUGGGCGUAAAGCGAGUGUAGGCGGUACGACAAGUCUGGUGUGAAAGCCCUGGGCGCAACCUGAGAACUGCAUUUGAAACUGUCAAACUUGAGUGUAGGAGAGGAGAGUGGAAUUCCAGGUGUAGCGGUGGAAUGCGUAGAUAUCUGGAAGAACACCAGUGGCGAAGGCGGCUAUCUGGCACGUAACUGACGCUGAGGAGCGAAAGCGUGGGUAGCGAACAGGAUUAGAUACCCGGGUAGUC
This 465-nucleotide ribosomal RNA is filed under the name uncultured bacterium. RNAcentral describes it as "partial 16S ribosomal RNA". It matches the Rfam family "Bacterial small subunit ribosomal RNA", at positions 338 to 795 of the family's 1533-position model. The record is from RNAcentral.